RNAcentral lists this small nuclear RNA (107 nucleotides) under Suricata suricatta (meerkat). RNAcentral describes it as "U2 spliceosomal RNA (ENSSSUG00005011651.1)". It matches the Rfam family "U2 spliceosomal RNA". Rfam says of the family: U2 is a small nuclear RNA (snRNA) component of the spliceosome (involved in pre-mRNA splicing). Complementary binding between U2 snRNA (in an area lying towards the 5' end but 3' to hairpin I) and the branchpoint sequence (BPS) of the intron results the bulging out of an unpaired adenosine, on the BPS, which initiates a nucleophilic attack at the intronic 5' splice site, thus starting the first of two transesterification reactions that mediate splicing. Lineage: Eukaryota; Metazoa; Chordata; Mammalia; Carnivora; Herpestidae. The record is from Rfam by way of RNAcentral.
AUCGCUUCUUGGCCUUUUGGCUAAGAUCAAGUGUAGUAUCUGUUCUUAUCAGUAAUAUAUAUGUGUGCACAUAUGUAUAUGUAUAUCUUUAAAAUGCAGUACUCUUG